This 124-nucleotide small RNA is filed under the name Erwinia sp. OLSSP12. RNAcentral's name for it is "RtT sRNA". It matches the Rfam family "RtT RNA". From Rfam's summary of the family: This family represents a bacterial cis-regulatory element known as RtT RNA. The exact function of RtT is unknown although it is thought that it may be involved in changing the cellular response in relation to amino acid starvation. Lineage: Bacteria; Pseudomonadati; Pseudomonadota; Gammaproteobacteria; Enterobacterales; Erwiniaceae. The record is from RNAcentral. RNAcentral also lists the same sequence under 6 other names.
UUUGCGUGACAGAACGGCAGGAUGAGAACCUGCAGCAGGUUCGGGCCGAACGCAGUGAGACAACGUUGCGACAGCAACGGCCCGCAGGGUGAGGCGCAGCCGAAUCAUCCUGCACGACCCACCA